Molecule: ribosomal RNA, 448 nt
Filed under: uncultured bacterium
Lineage: Bacteria
Description: partial 16S ribosomal RNA
Rfam family: Bacterial small subunit ribosomal RNA
Source: RNAcentral
GACCAGACUCCUACGGGAGGCAGCAGUGGGGAAUAUUGCACAAUGGGGGAAACCCUGAUGCAGCGACGCCGCGUGAGUGAAGAAGUAUUUCGGUAUGUAAAGCUCUAUCAGCAGGGAAGAAAAUGACGGUACCUGACUAAGAAGCCCCGGCUAACUACGUGCCAGCAGCCGCGGUAAUACGUAGGGGGCAAGCGUUAUCCGGAUUUACUGGGUGUAAAGGGAGCGUAGACGGCAUGGCAAGUCAGAUGUGAAAGCCCGGGGCUCAACCCCGGGACUGCAUUUGAAACUGUCAGGCUGGAGUGCAGGAGAGGUAAGUGGAAUUCCUAGUGUAGCGGUGAAAUGCGUAGAUAUUAGGAGGAACACCAGUGGCGAAGGCGGCUUACUGGACUGUAACUGACGUUGAGGCUCGAAAGCGUGGGGAGCAAACAGGAUUAGAUACCCCUGUAAG